Molecule: long non-coding RNA, 2547 nt
Organism: Lycium ferocissimum
Lineage: Eukaryota; Viridiplantae; Streptophyta; Magnoliopsida; Solanales; Solanaceae
Exons: 2
Source: RefSeq, a predicted model, not a curated record
GUUUGUGUCAGAAGCCAUUUUUUCCUAAAUUUGUGGAACUUUUAAUACAGUUAACCGAUACAAUAGAUUCCAAUGUAUAUGUGAAAACCUCAUUUUUGCAUGAGCUUCUGAUUUACAAUUUAAAUAUGUUUUUUCCCUCUUUAAUCUUUCCCAACAUAAUUUGGAAAGCCCCAAACACAUAGCAAUAGCCCGUCUACGAGAAGUCAGCGCCAAGAGAUCUUUCGAUGAGAAAAUCUGGCGGAGAAGAAGUUUACAAAAGAUGGUCCACUUUUACUUUUUUGCUAUGUUAUCUUUGGCCAUCCUUCUGUUCUUCACUUCUUCGGUUUACUUUGAGCUUCAACGUUUAAUUUUGUCCGCCCAAUUUUAUACUAGUUUAUUAUUUGUCCUACCCAAGUUUGUUGCUUUUUCCUCUAAAAACAUAGAGGUAAGGAUCAAAAGAACUAUUUUCCUCGGUAAAUAAUUUAACUGCUUGUGAUUUCAAAGGCUUUAACAUCAGUCAUCGAAGAGCUAUUAUAAUUCUCAGAAUAAAUCAUCAGGUGCUUGGCUUUUCUUUCCAUUUCUGACAUCUUAUGCAUUAUAAUUAACUUGAUUUGAGAGGAAAUUAAAGAUAAGUUAAGAAAACUGACUCUUGGCAUGCUUUUGAAAGCGAUGGGGAAGAUGUUUUUGAUGUCUUGGUCAAUUAGUCUCUUAUUCUUUUGUACAAUUAUUUAUCCUUCUAUUUUCUGGUUUUUUUUUUUUUAAUAGGAAUAUGUCAAAUGAUUGGUCAUUAUAGUCACUUCGACUCUGAAAUUUCUGACUUGAUUUCUCCCGUUUGUGGGGUUUGUGUUGAUAUCUUUGCUGCUUUUCUAUUUCUGUUACUUUCUGCUCACCGUGCGUACAAGGAAAAAAAUAGAUCUGGUAAAACCAUGUGCUUGGCCCUUUGACGAUGAGAAGUUGCCAGUGGACUCUAGUUUCAAAGAUUCAAAGAUUUAAGAGAAACCGAGUUGAAGUAAAUUACUGGGAUGUCUUCGUUUUAUAAUUUGCAAAAACUGACGUUGCAAAAUUAGUGAUAGAGUUUGUGGAGAAGUAUUGUUUGAUAUGUUUUUGCCAAAGAAAUAUUUUAAAUACUUUCUACCUCUGUGAAACAUUAGCAAGAUAACUGAAUUCUGUUAUGUAUACUUUAAUACAAUUUUCUCUCAAUGAAGUUAACUAAUCUGAAACUAGGAGUGAACUUCAACAUGGAUUGUCUUCUCUCCAUAAUGCAAGUCAGUCAAACAUGUGAUAAAUCACUCAUGAGUUUUUGGUUUUUUGUAAAUAAUUGUUCGUCAAUUGUGACAAUUUCAGAUGAUCCAAUCCAUUAGAUUGUUGCAUCAUACUAACUGAAGUAGUUGUAGAGUUUGGAUUUUGAAUUUACCAAGCUGGUCUAGAGAAAAAUUAAGUUCGUCUAGGUCUGUUGAGAAUUACAAAAGUCAGGUUGUACUAAAGAACUCAUAUUACAUACAUUAUUCCUAUAUCAGCUUGAGACAGCAUCGUCUCCUCUUUAGUAGCAUUAUAAGCCGUCUUUUACUUUCGUUUUUGAGUGUAAUCUAUUGUAUUUAUGUUUUUCUUGUUCAUAAUUAUUCACUCUGUUUAAGAUGGCUUUAUUUCAUUUUCAUCCACAUUCACUUUUUACAUUUUGAUGAUUUAGAGUAUCAUUUGUUGGUCUUUUUAAUUGAUAUGUCAGUCACUGCAUAUAAUUCUUUAUUGGUGAUUUAGACUAUCAACAAAACAUGUUUAAUUAUUGUCACUUGAUUCAUGCUUGACGGUCCGGUGGAUAUGUCUCCACAUUUUGAUCGCAUUUUCACUUCUUUUAACCAUGACAAAUGAACUGUAAUCUAUUAGAUAUAUUCUCCUUUUAGAGUCUUUUUUUAAAGCAAAUAUCCUUUUAGAGUCUUAAUAAUUACUUGUGAUAUCUUUCAUGUUAUUUGAUAGAAGAACAUGCAAGGAGGAAAAGUUUAUCUGCUUCUUCAUUGAGCCAUUUGUAGGUUUAUUUCUUCUGUCAUAGGAAAUAUUAUCUGCUUCAUUGCUACUUGUGAUUCCUAACUGUGAGUAGUGAAUUUUGCUCAUUUUCAUCUUAUGAUUGGGUUGCGUCGACGUCUUCUGUGGCAGGCCUGUUAUCAAUCCCGCUCUUCCAAGGAAUAGGACUAUGGGAGAAGUUUUGUGGAGCCUGGAAUAUGCAUUGAAGCUUCAGGGAAAACAUGAAAAAACAACACGAGAAUGAUAUCCCGAACAAUAAGUCGGAUAACAAUGUGUUAAGUACAAAAUACAUCAUGGGGAGUAUGGCUGAACUUGCUGGUGUUUCAAUGAGUAAAGUUUUUUGCCAAAUGGUGAAAACUGAAAACAAAGACUUAUGUGACAUGUUAGACUGUGCCUCUUGGUUGUAUAUUUGUCUUCUCUUUGCUUUAGAUUAACGAAUAAAUGUUACAAUCCAGUAAAAUUUAUAGAAGAUACGUAAGACUUUAGAAGUUCUUGAGAUAUAUUGAUAACGUCAAAUUUUGUAAUUUAGAAUGUUCUUAAUAUCUUUAGUUU